AAGGGUCAGAUAUGAAUGGUAUAUAUAGUGUUUUUUAAACCUGACUUGUUUCAUGUCCACUGAGCCUGGAGAUGGUGGUGUGUCUAGGGUUGGGGUUAGGAGAUGAUGGUGUGUCUCGGGUCAGGGUUUAGAGAUGAGGGUGUGUCUAGGGUUAGUGUUAGGAGAUGAAGGUGUGUCUAGGGUUAGGGUGAGGGAGAUGAUGGUGUGGUUGGGGUGAGGGAGAUGAUGGUGUGUCUAGGGUUAGUAUUAGAGUGAGGGAGAUGAUGGUGUGUCUAGUGUUAGGGAGAUGAUGGUGUGUCUAGGGUUAGGAGAUGAUAAUGUGUCUAGGGUUAGUGUGAGGAGAUGAUGGUGUGUCUAGGGUUACGGAGAUGAUGGUGUGUCUAGGGUCAGGGUGUGUGUGUGAGGGUAAGGGAGAUGAUGGUGUGUCUAGCCACCCAAACAAUAAGGAAGACUCUGAGCCCUGUCCUACUCUGACUGAUCCUUUUAUAUUCACUGAAAAUGUCCUGGCACUAAUAAAAUAUACAUAUUAAGAGGGUUAAUGGAGAUGUUCCUCAAACAAGAUACCCCGAGCGACACAUCAAUUAUUCUUUCAAAGUUCCACUACAGCAGCUGAGAUACCCAGCAACACACACUUCCGUAUCACCCUCACACACUUCCGUAUCACCCUCACACACUUCUGUAUCACAACACAACCUUCCAUAUCCCUCUCACACACUUCCAUAUACCUCUCACACACUUCUUUAUCACAACACACACUUCCACAUCACCCUCACACACUUCCAUAUCCCUCUCACACACUUCCAUAUACUGUAUCACAACACACACUUCCAUAUCACCCUCACACACUUCCAUAUCACCCUCACACACUUCCAUAUCACCCUCUCAAAAUCACUCACAAACUGGACGUGUGUCCAUAGCUGUCCAUUGUGGAGUAAUUACAGUGAAACAAAGGGAUCGGUUGUGUAUAUUGCAUUAUUACGUGUAAAUGUCACCCAAAAGUCUUGGCAGUAUAUGCAGUAUAUGCUUGCCUACAGAGUGCUUACUGGUUCUGCUCCCACCUACCUAAAUGCUCUUGUAAGGGCAAAUGUUACACCCAGGACGCUGCGCUCGUCUAGUGAUCGUCGUUUGGCACUGCCGUCCGUGCGAGCACGGCAAUCCAGACUAUUUUCAUUUGUAGUUCCACGUUGGUGGAACGAACUGCCUAGUACUACCAGAGCAGGGGCGUCCCUCUCUACCUUCAAGAAGCUUUUGAAGACCCAACUCUUCAGAGAGCACCUCCCCUCCUAACUGGCACCCGACUAGCGCUUAACUUGCACUUCAGCAGUUAUAUUCCUGCACUUCUUUUUCCUCUUUUCUAGGUUGUUGUUUUUUCUAAUUCUCAUGUAAAGUAGUAUUUAUUGUUACACCAUGCUUUUUUAUUGCUCUUAGCUUGACUGUUCUCUCCCUUGUACGUCGCUUUGGACAAAAGCGUCUGCUAAAUGACUAAAUGUAAAUGUAAAUGUAAAUAUGGGGUUGGAUUAUCAGUGGGGGUAACAGUCCCACGAUGUGUGACGGAGCUCCAAAAAAAAAAAAAAGCUAUGGUCAGAAUAUCACCACGUGAUCCUGUGUCUGAGUCACUGGUGAUGUCUAUGCCCGUGUUGAUCUUAGAUAGGAUCUCAAGUGUUGCACCUUUGGGAAGAAUUACUGUAGUAUUGACUGAAAGAAACUCACUAAACGUGCGUGACUGCUAUGUGUUGUGGCUCUCCUCAAUCCAAUAAAAUACACGAUGGCUUCCGUUGAAGCAUGGCAGGGUUCUGUGUGGGCUUGCAGUGCUGGCGUGUUUGAGUGCAGUAGCGUGUAGCGUGUUACGGAGGGGCACAAGGUGAAUCUGUAAACCUGUUGACAAGCAUGA
Long non-coding RNA from Clupea harengus (Atlantic herring), 1891 nucleotides. Lineage: Eukaryota; Metazoa; Chordata; Actinopteri; Clupeiformes; Clupeidae. The record is from Ensembl.